RNAcentral lists this ribosomal RNA (387 nucleotides) under uncultured bacterium. Its description in RNAcentral is "bacterial SSU rRNA". It matches the Rfam family "Bacterial small subunit ribosomal RNA", at positions 8 to 422 of the family's 1533-position model. The record is from RNAcentral.
AGAGUUUGAUCAUGGCUCAGAACGUACGCUGGCGGCACGCCUAACACAUGCAAGUCGAACGAAGUAGCAAUACUUAGUGGCAGACGGGUGAGUAACAUGUAGGUAUCUGCCCUUUGGCCUGGAAUAACACGAGGAAACUUGUGCUAAUACCGGAUAAGUCUUUACGGAGAAAGCUUUAUGCACCAUUGGAUGAGCCUGCACUAGAUUAGUUUGUUGGUGGGGUAAUGNCCUACCAAGACUGUGAUCUAUAGCUGAUUUGAGAGGAUGAUCAGCCACAUUGGGACUGAGNCNCGGCCCAAACUCCUACGGGAGGCAGCAGUGGGGAAUCUUGCACAAUGGAGGAAACUCUGAUGCAGCGAUGCCGCGUGAGUGAAGAAGGCCCUUGGG